RNAcentral lists this non-coding RNA (220 nucleotides) under Lysinibacillus xylanilyticus. RNAcentral's name for it is "T-box sequence". It matches the Rfam family "T-box leader". Rfam says of the family: Uncharged tRNA acts as the effector for transcription antitermination of genes in the T-box leader family. T-boxes are found upstream of many aminoacyl-tRNA synthetase genes and some amino acid biosynthetic genes usually in Gram-positive bacteria. The record is from RNAcentral. Lineage: Bacteria; Bacillati; Bacillota; Bacilli; Caryophanales; Bacillaceae.
UAUUAAUUGUUGAUGUGGCCAAGUAAGAAAGAAUAGUGAAACAGAGAAUAUAGCAAUUGCUGAGAGCUAUAUCACCGCUUCUUAUCUGAAACCUACCACGGAGAUGUUAUGCAAACAUAACCGAGUCGUUUUCGUUACAAAACGUUAGAGGGUUUUAAGGUUUUCUUAAAACUAAAUUCAAGGUGGUACCACGUUUAGUCGGCACAAAGACGUCCUUAUU